This 295-nucleotide long non-coding RNA is filed under the name Homo sapiens (human). RNAcentral's name for it is "non-protein coding lnc-F9-6:1". Lineage: Eukaryota; Metazoa; Chordata; Mammalia; Primates; Hominidae. The record is from RNAcentral.
GAGGCAGACAGAUUACCUGAGGUCAGGAGUUCGAGACCAGCCUGCCCAACAUGGUGAAACCCUGUCUCUACUAAAAAUACAAAAAUUAGCUGUGCGUGGUGGCACACACCUGUAAUCCCAGCUACUCGGGAGGCUGAGGCAAGAGCAUCGCUUGAACCCAGGAGGCAGAGGUUGCAGUGAGCCGAGAUCACACCACUGCAUUCCAGCCUGGGUAACAGAGCAAGACUCUGUCUUAAAAAAAAAAAAAAAAGACUGGACAUCACUUAGUCUUUGAUCUCUCAGUCAAGCACUACAA